RNAcentral lists this long non-coding RNA (6494 nucleotides) under Medicago truncatula (barrel medic). Its description in RNAcentral is "long non-coding RNA (MTRU_LNC005720)". Lineage: Eukaryota; Viridiplantae; Streptophyta; Magnoliopsida; Fabales; Fabaceae. The record is from RNAcentral.
AGGUAGGUCACUUUUUUUCGUACAUUGCCUACCACACUGGCUUGUUUAAAUUGUUUGUAUUCUUCGUGUUGUUCAAAGUUCUAACGUGACUGAAAUAUCUACCCUAUGUGGGAUACUUGAUUUCAUCUACAUCAUUGUUUUGUUCGUAAAUUUGAGCUAAUUGCUCGAAGUUUUUCUGCAUGCACAUUCAUACAUAAAAAGAUUCAUCAACUUAUGAUAUACACCUCUAUAAAUGUACCGCGUCUUGAAAAUAUUGGUCUAAUAAAAAUAAAAACUAAUUUUGCUGCGAGUUUGCACCCGCUCCCCAUCUUCAUGUAUGUUACUGUGUUUGGUAGAUUCCAGUCUUAGAUGCUUAUGAUACUUCCUUCUCUAUUUUAUUAUGUCUUGGCUCUUUGAAAUUGGAGCUGGUUCUGUGGCAUGUCUUGGCGCUUGAUUGACUUGCUUGGAUGUUGUUUCUUGGUCGGGUUUUUCCUGGAAAUGGGAGUUUUAUAUAGAAGCCGAAUGGUGAAAGGAGCAGCAGCCCUGUGCAGCUUUCCAAGGUUAUUAUUAUUUUUUAUUUUUUUUUAUGAUCUGUCUCAGAAAGUCAAUGCAAGUACUUGCUUAUAUGAUUCUUCAUUUUGAUAGUAGUUUUUUUGUGCUUGAUCAGUUUUUAGGGCGCAACAAAGAUGAUGGUGUCCGUCGCAGUGCCGUAUCGGGCAAGAAGGUAUUAAUGUAGUAUUUGACAGUUAUCUGUUUCUUGGGUGUUGUUAUUUGCAGUAGCAAUAUUGAUUAUUCUUUUUGUGUCGUUGUAGAUUCUUCUCAAACUUGAUAAAACAAAGGAAGAUAAGGAGGCAGAGAGCAAGAGAAAUGAACUGCUGAACUUUUUAAAUGCUAGUUUUGAUUAGCACUGAGAAGGUAUGGAUUUGUUAAGAGGGUACAUCAAAGUCAAAAACGAACCAAUUUUACUUGGGUGCAUAAUUAUUUUGUUAUUAUCAGAAUCAAGCAAUCUACAAUUUAGACGGGUGGGGUGCGGUAAAAUUGUGCUUACAAUUGAAAGACUGCAACCAAGUUUGUUCAACAUGUGUGGUUUACAGUCAAUGGUUUCCUCUAUUGUGGAUUUUGUUAUGAGCUUUUGUAAGAUGACAACCUUUUGACCUUGCCAGAUUCAUUGAGUUUAGUCGGUCAUUGUUUUAUGUGCCGUUUUUUUCAAUAGUUUUCCCCUCUAUUGUUAUUCUGGGCUCAUGUGACUGAAUUGUCAAAUUUGCAUUUGAAUUACAUAUUCUGAUACAUAUGGGUUUUAGUUUUGAUUUGUUGUUCUUUAUCAUUACAUCAUUUGUUUGCACCAAGUACCAACUCUAGGAUCCUUGUUGAAACAUAUGGUAUGCCUAUGCCUUGUUGGAAUGGAGCAACCUCUCCUCUAUAUGUCUGCUUACGUCGAAACGUUUUUGGGAAAUGUUAACGAGUGUCCUAAAGACACUUUUAACAACCUUAGCUCAUGCAUUCAAUGCUUGGAAAUUGAAGUAUGACUUUUCCGAUAGGUAUUUUCUUAAUUUGGAAUUAUUAAAGAGCUCUUGGGGCACUCAUUAGCAAAGACCCAAAUUUUUUUAAGAGAUGGUUGUAAAUACAAUUGAUUAGGUUUUUUCAGGGUGGGGUUGGGAGCUAUGCUUCUAAAGAUUUGGCAAAAUUAGAAGAGAUCGAUGGGGGGGCUUUGAUGCUCAUGGUGUCUUGUAUGUAUCAACUGGUGAAUUAAAACAUAUUUUAUUCUUGUUGCAGGCAUCCAGCCUUCAUUGAUUUUUUUUUUUAUUCACGGGUUAACUUGAACUAAUCAUGUGUUUUUUUUUUUUUACCAUGAAUGCUUAUUCCUUCUUGUUGAAAUUGUGCGGUAACACAAUCUAGAAAUUUUGAUAAACAAAUAGUUGGUCGGGUGUUAGAGCAUCCUCUAAUGGUCUAUUUUUAAGGAACCUACUUUGAGUUUCAUAUACUACUAUUUUUAAGAGUAAUGAUAUUUGAGCAUCAAAAUUCUCUCAAGUUGGAUAACAUCAAAAAGUGGUAAAUGAGUUUUAUUAAAUGGCAAAUCUUUCAGAGAAUUCGAGUUUGAUUUUUCAUGAAGUGUUAAAACAAGGAUCUUCAUCUUUGAAUUUAUACAAUUUUGCCACUAUAAUUCUUUUUAUAUCAAAUUUUUAUCACUUUUUUUUUUUUUUUUUUUUGUCAAAAAAAAUAUUCUUUUAGUGGAGUAUCUUUACCAUUAAUCAUUUUAUUCCUCAAAUCUUGUUGCAAAUAAUCAAUUUAAUUCUUUGGUUUUCUUUGAUCAUUGUAAAAUUGAUAACAAUACAUAUGAUUACUCAAAUACUCCCUCUGUUUCAAAAUACAUGUCCAAAUCAACCACUUUACAUAUGCUAAUGCACAAUUUUGACCGUUAAUAUCUUUAAUUAUCUAAAGUAAAAAAUUAUAAAAAUUUAAUAUUUUGAAAAUAUUUAUCAAGACAAAUCAAAUAACAUCUUACAUGCUAAUAUUUGUAGAGUUUUUCUAUUUACCCCCCAUGUUUUUCUGGUUACACACAAAUUUUCUUAAUUUUUUUAUAAUACCAAAAUUGCCCUUUUAUAUAAAUUUUCUUAAAACCCUAAUUUUAUUCAUUGUCAGUGAGUUUCACCCUCUUUCACCCCACAAAGCGAUCGAUCAAACAAUUUGAUGUUCAAUAUCAAUCUCCAUAAAAAUUAAAGAGUGAAUCAAAAUAUUUUUCAUCCAUACUCAAUUGGAUAUAAGUAAGUGAAUUUCUUCUUCUAUUUGCUAGUUUCAAUUUUUUUCCUUCAACUGCAAUGAUGCACUGUACGAUUACGGUUUUAAUUUACAUUGGCAAGGUUAACUUAAAUUCAGUUUAAGUAGGUUCAUGUAAACUUAAAUUGAGUUUACAUGAACCUACUUAAACUGAGUUAACAUGAACCUACUUAAACUGAGUUUACAUGAACCUACUUAAACUGAUUUUUUACAAAAUCGCAGAACUGUGAAUCGCAGAACAAGGAAAACACAAAAUCAGAACUGAGAACCCAUAACAAGAAAAACACAAUCGAUUCAAGAACAACACUUGCUAACCUGAUUUGCUUCGAAUUUUCUUUGAAAUCAUGAAUGGACGUGAGAAAGUAUGGUUUUGAAAAUCUUCGCAGAACACAAUCGAUCGAUUGGAGAAUUAUGGUUUUGGAAGAAGGGUUUUGGGGUGUAACCAAAAAAGAAGGAAUAGGCUUUUUGAAAAUCAAAUUUUAUGAAAGGGUAAUCUUGUCAUUUUGGGGUGCAACCAUGAUUAACUAGGGUGCAAGUAGAAAAACUCAUAUUUGUAUUGAUACAUUAGUUAAAAAGUAUGGUCAAAGUAAGUCAAGUGAAUAAUGCACAUUGCAAAAAUUGGACAUGUAUUUUGAAAUGGAGGGAGUAGAAAGCAAUUUUCAUACAUUUUUUUUUUCCGACAGAAUCAAUUUCCAUAUAUUUAAUAACUCAUUCUAUUCCAAAAUACAUGUCGUAUUUUUAUUUAUUCAUAUAAAUUACUUUGACCUUAUUUUUUAAUCAAAAUAUAAAUAUAAAUGUUAAUAUGUAAAAUGUCGUUUUGACAAAAAAAUUCAUAAUAUUAAAUUUUUAAUUAAGUGUAUUAAUAAUUAAUUAAGUUUUUUUGAAGGAAUUAAAUUGUAUAUUGACAUCUGGUAAAGUGGUUCGGUGCGAUAUUUAUUUUGAACAUAGGGUGCAAAAUAACAAUAGCCUGUGGCAUGGCACGUUUAUUUCGAGGAAAUCGAAUGGAUAUUAUCCCAAUCCGUGUGAUGUGAGGCUGUGUUUUUUCUACCACCGUAAAGUACGUCUCUUGAAACAUCGUUUUCAUAUUGGAAACAUAUUCUGUAAAUUUCCAUUUCAAAACGACCUUCUAACAUUGUGAGAAUCGACAGAGAGAUGGAAGGAAUAGAGCACAGAAGAGUGGAAGUGAAUGGAAUCAAAAUGCAUAUUGCUGAGAAAGGUAAAGAAGGACCUGUUGUUUUGUUCCUUCACGGCUUUCCUGAACUCUGGUACUCUUGGCGCCACCAGAUUGCGGCUCUCGGCUCUCUCGGCUACCGCGCCGUAGCUCCGGAUCUACGUGGCUAUGGUGACACUGAGGCUCCAUCUUCAAUAAGCAGCUACACAGGUUUUCACAUUGUAGGUGAUCUGGUUGCACUUAUAGAUUUGCUUGGCGUUGAUCAAGUGUUUCUUGUAGCUCAUGAUUGGGGUGCCAUCAUUGGUUGGUACCUUUGCAUGUUUCGCCCUGAAAGAAUCAAAGCCUAUGUUUGUCUCAGUGUUCCAUUUACGCGUAGAAACCCUAAAAUCAGAACUGUUGAUGGCAUGCGUGCUGCUUAUGGAGAUGAUUAUUAUAUCUCUAGAUUUCAGGUUCUUCCUUUUCUGUAUUAUCUUAAAAUAUCAAGAUUUACUGUGUAUAGCCUAUAUGUUAAUACUAUAGUUGAGACUACAAUAUCACCCUUGAACUAUAUCUAUGAGUCAUACUCAAUGGUUCGUAAGUUGUUUUGAGUAACUUAAUAGAGCCUAAAUCAAAAUCGGAACAUUUAUGGUUGCUCAGUUAAUUCUAAAACCCAGCAUGACUCAAUCAAGAAUGAAUUAUUGUUCAUUCUAAGGAGUAAUAUUAAACAUGUUAGGGUCUACCUGUCAUAUUGCAGGUAUAAAUAAAGAAAUUAUAAGUUGUUUUCAGAAAUUGUUUUUUUAUCCGUUAUCACAGGAACCGGGCAAAAUGGAAGCUCAGAUGGCUGAAGUUGGCACUGCAUAUGUGAUGAAAAGUACCCUCACAACUCGGAAAACUGGUCCUCCAAUAUUUCCCAAGGGAGAGUUUGGAACUGGAUUCAACCCGGACACCCCUGACAAAUUGCCUUCUUGGCUCACAGAAGAUGAUCUUGCUUAUUUUGUUUCCAAAUUUGAGAAAACGGGCUUUGUUGGAGGAUUGAACUACUAUAGAAACUUGAACUUGUAAUCUUUUGAUUCUCUGUGGUGCCUCUGAUUGUUUGCCACAAAUCUAUAUUUACAUUUCUUUUGGGAAAACAUUUUAACAGUGUGACAAUAAUCUAAUCUCUAAUCUAUGUAACAUUGACAUUUCAGAUUGAAGAUGUGUCCAAUGUCCGACAUGUGUUGAUAUUUGACAUUGACACCGCCUUUUUUUUUGGGAGGACAUUGACGCCACAAUCACAUGUUACAUUUAGUCACUUCCAUUUUAAAUUAUUAUCAAUGUUUAUGUGUUAGUGUCGUGUUUUAUAUUUGUGUCAGGUGUUGUGUCCAAUGUCUCCGUGGUUCAUAAAGAGUGAUCUCAAUUCUAAUGACACAAACAUUAUUACUUGUAUUGCAGAAAUUGGGAGCUGAUGGCACCAUGGAAUGGAGUGAAAAUCAAGGUGCCUGUGAAAUUCAUUACAGGUGACUUAGACAUUGUAUACACCUCACCAAAGGUGAAGGAGUAUAUCCAUGGUGGAGGAUUCAAGGAAGAUGUGCCGAAUUUGGAAGAAGUGAUUGUCCAAAAAGGAGUGGCUCACUUCAACAAUCAAGAAGCAGCAGAGGAAAUCAGUAAUCACAUUUAUGAAUUCAUCAAGAAGUUCUGAGCUGACCUGAUGAUGAAAUAACGAUGCCGCUAAGUCUAUUACACGAUUCUUAGUAGUUGCAUGUGUUGUAUAUUUACAACAGUUGUUCACUUCUACUCUAUCCACUUAAUGCUAGAUAUGGAUCUAUCUGUUUGGUUCGAAGUAGCUCUCCACCAGGAUCUCCAAAAAGAUAUUGUACCUAAUAAUGAACAACAUUCAUAAUCCCGUUGUAGUAGAGUCUUUUGAAUAAACAGGGCCAGUGAAAAUUGACGCAUUAACCAUGCUCACAAAUUCAUAGUAGUGACGUGUUUAACAAUGAAUCUUUAGAAUUCUCACUUAUAAGGAAAGCAAUUGGUAAGGUUUGAGUAUGAUAGUAAUGUACCUAUAAUUGUUAUAAACGGAGCGAAGUAAAAGUCAUGACCAUAAGCGGCAGAGGCAUAGCUUAAAAGAGGCAGGUCACUUUUUUUAGUACAUUGUCGUUGGAAUAUCUACACUGUGUGGGAUACAUAAUUUCAUCAUAAUAAGGUUCAUCAACUUUAGAUACACCUCUGUAAUUGUAUUAUCCCAUCAUCUUCUACACCUUGAAAAUAUUGGUCUAAUUUCGUUGUUCCUUUUAUCAUACCAAAACUUGAACGAACACAUGGGGAAAAAAUAUUAAUUUUGCCGAAAAUUUGCACCCCGUACGGCCGUACCCAACUUCGUAUGUUACUGUGUUUAGUAGAUUCCAGGCUGACAUGCUUUUGAUACUUCCUUCUUAUUUUAUUAUGCUUUGGCUCUUUGAAAUUGAAGCUGGAUCUGUCACAUGUCUGUGUGCUUGGAUAUUGUUUCUUGCUCUGUGCAGCUUUCCAAGGUUUGUUUUAUGAUCUUUCUUAGAAAGCUCUCUUAGGGCGCAACAAAGAUGAUGGUGUCCGUCGCAGUGUUGUAUCUGGCAAG